RNAcentral lists this ribosomal RNA (131 nucleotides) under Dinophysis sp. CBC4-500. RNAcentral's name for it is "partial 18S small subunit ribosomal RNA". The record is from RNAcentral. Lineage: Eukaryota; Dinophyceae; Dinophysales; Dinophysaceae.
DNGRCCBCGACUGUAUGCCCACCCGCCUACUUCCAAACGUAGCAGUGGAAGUUUGGUGAACCUUAUCACUUACCAGGAAGGAUCUUUCGUAACACGGUCUCCGUAGGUGAACCUGCGGAAGGAUCAUUCUC